UUAAAAAAUAACAAAAAAAACAAAAAUUAAAUAAAAAAAUGGAUAUUCGGAUAUCUGAAAUUUCGGAUACAUAUUUGAAUAGUGAAAUUUGGUAUCCGAAAAUUUCAGAUAUCCGGUUUUGAACACCUCUACUUAUAAUACAAGAAACUCACUCACAUAAAUAUAAGGGAUCUAUUAUGAAUGGUAUAAAAAAUGUACAAGUUCAACCUUAACAAAUUUAUAUUGAAAAGACUUUGUAACAAAAAACGAUCAUGUUUAAUUGGCUAUACUUUUAUUUGAGUGUAAAAGUAUAAUCGAAUAUUAGGAACCAUGGCACAUAAAUUCACUUUCACCGUCUGAUUGUUAAAGGAUUGCACAUAAAUUCACUUUCACCGUCUGAUUGUUAAAGGAUUUGCUUUCAUGUGAUAUAUAUAUUUUUUUCUCUCUCUCUCUCUCUCUGUUUUUUUUUAAUUUUUGACCCGGAAAAGUAUUUCUUAUCAGAGAAGUAAAGUUAUCUAUUUUACAGUUUUUCAGUGCGUUAUCUAUUUUAUACCUUUUCAGUGAACUUGGUUGGUGACAACUUCAUCAUUAUCGAACUAUAUCGUUGAACGUAUGUAUUUUUAUCUCUGUUUCGGUGUAAAUUUCAUUCGAAAAGAGUCGUGUAUAGUAAGUAAUGUAUAAGUCAUCGAAGUAUAAACGUAUAGGUUGUCAAAUCUGUAUGUUUCAAUUGUUCUGUAGUUUACUUUUUAUUUUCCACUUACAACUUUUUAAAUGAAAUUUUUAAUAAAUUUUGGAUUUUACAUUGUCAAGUGCUUAUUUUUAUCUGCGUUUUGGCGUGAAUUUUCGUAACGUUAUUUUUUAACCGGCCAAUUGUUUUAGACGUUCUUUUAAACCGUACAAAUAUUUAAUGGUUUUAGAUGUACCUGGGCACACAAGUUUAAUAUUAUGGUUUUACGUGAAGUUUAAGGUUUUCUUAUAUAAAGUUUCGUAAAACAUGUUAGUGAUUUUACGGUUUUGAUGUAUCUGGGCACACAAGUUUAAUACUAGUUUACAAUUAAAAAGAUAAUCUCGAACAUGAAAUCGGAGAUGAAAACCGCAAGAUAGAAAUACAAUUCUACUUUUGGUUGUCACAUGAAGAAGAAGAAACAACGAAUAAAAUAUAUUUUCACAGUUUUGUUUUUACAUCAAUAUCUAUGAAACUUUUUAUACUCUCAUUCUAUUCUUUCAACAAAUAAAAUUUACUUUGCCAGUUAUGUUUUUACAACAACAUUUGUGAAACUUUUUGUAUUUUUUAUCAUAUUAUCUAUCUCUUAUACUAAAGCAAAAUAAUGUUGACUUUUUGACCUUGAUGUGGCAAUGCUCUCUGGCCAGAGAAUUGUUAUUUGAGUGCCAAUUCUAUUUCCUUCUUCCUACCUACGCUUUCUUCAAUUUGGAAACCUAAUCAAUUCUCUCAAUCAGUUGAAUCUCCAGGCAAAUUGAUUUCUCUUUACAUUCACACGGCUUCUCAAAACAUCACACGUUCAAUUUUACAACCCUAAAUCUCAUCUACGGCUUCAUCUGUAGCGAUUGUACCUGGCCAUACCCACUUCAGAAAUCCCUAAAUCUCAAGCAUUCGAACUCUCAUCUAGGCAUGUUUUCUCUUUUUUGAUGUUGUCUGUAUUUGGUAAUCUAGAUGCGAAACCCUAAUUGGUAUCGAAAUACAGAGAGUGUGAUGUGGUGUGAACUUGGAUGCACUUUUGAGGUACACCAGUCUGAUGAUGAUAGGAGGAAUCGGGUAUCUUACUGAGUCUCACACACACAAAUGAGAAAAGAGGAAUUAUGUCUUCUUUGAAAUUUCACUUUUAAAGGAAUGGAUUUGGACAGCGGUCACCCUAUGCGCUUGGUUGACAUAAAAUGAUUGUGUUUUAAAGCAAGCGAACUAAUCGAAUACAAUCACCAACCUACGCUUUCGUUUAUUCUUUUCCUUCUCGAUCAAUCGUUCCUUCUGGUUUAUCCUUCAUCAUCCAAUUUUAAGAUUAUAAGAGAUGAAGAUCUUGAAGAGUUAAAGGAGCUUGGCUACAAUAUAUAUGAGACAGUUUACCAUGAAAAUUUGAGGGGAACUGAUGUGACAACUAAGCAAAUAAAAAGAGCUGUUUUGCAGCUCGAUUAUAUGAACAAGAGAGAUUGGUUAGUUAUUUAUAUUUUCUUUCACUAAUUAUCAAUUUGUGCAACUCAGGAUUUGUAUUCUUCAUUAACUCAUUUGUUUCAUGCUUAUGAUUUGAUUCCGGACAUAUGGGUUUUGGCGAGAAACAUAUAUUCUUUUAAAGCUUCACCAUCUAUGGCAUCACAUAAUUAAAGACUU
This 2320-nucleotide long non-coding RNA is filed under the name Helianthus annuus (common sunflower). Its description in RNAcentral is "hypothetical non coding rna". Lineage: Eukaryota; Viridiplantae; Streptophyta; Magnoliopsida; Asterales; Asteraceae. The record is from RNAcentral.